RNAcentral lists this ribosomal RNA (407 nucleotides) under uncultured bacterium. Its description in RNAcentral is "partial 16S ribosomal RNA". It matches the Rfam family "Bacterial small subunit ribosomal RNA", at positions 28 to 526 of the family's 1533-position model. The record is from RNAcentral.
GACGAACGCUGGCGGCGUGCCUAAUACAUGCAAGUAGAACGCAGUUGCGAACGGGUGAGUAACGCGUAGGUAACUGCCUCAUAGCGGGGGGUAACUAUUGGAAACGAUAGCUAAUACCGCAUACUGUGAGAUGGACCUGCGUUGUGUUAGCUAGUUGGUGGGGGAAAGGCCCACCAAGGCGACGAUACAUAGCCGACCCGUGAGGGGGAGUGGCCACCAUGGGACUUGAAAACGGGCCAGAACCCCUCGGGAGGCAGCCGUAGGGAAUCUUCGGCAAUUGACGGAAGGCUGACCGAGCAACUCCGGGUGAGUGAAGAAGGUUUUUCGAUUGUAAAGCUAUGUUGUGUGGGAAGCGGUAACUAACCAGAAAGCGACGGCUAACUACGUGCCAGCCGCCGCGGUAAUAC